CAAGACUGCCUGUCGCCCCGCUGUAGGUUUUACUCAUUGUGCUAGUGCCACAUGAUUCGCUGAUUGGAUAAUUACACGAGCGUGCAGGUGCACAGGUGUUCCUAAUAAAGUGGACAGUGAGUGUAUAUCAUAAAUCGAAAUAUAUCAAGCUGCUUGUUAAGGACAAAAAAUGUAAUGUCUAUCUAUUAGAGGUUAGAUAAUAACUUUGGCUUAGCUCACCAACACUGUAGAUGACCAUGUUUAAUUCAUUAAUUAACAUGAAAUUGUAGAGGAACAUAAAUGAUCAUUUAAAAAAAACAGAUGUCUUUUCAUAACAAACAGCAUCACAUCAAACACCUGCAUUGUCAACUUGUUACACAACUCUCUUCCCAGAGUGAUAUGUCUCGUCAGGACGUGGCCACACCCCCUUCUGUGUUACAGCAGGAGGUCUGUUGUCAUGGUUACCCACAACAGCUCUUCAACUGGCAGCUUUAAUGCCGAGCCACAUAAAGCUAGCCAGUGAAGAACGACUGUGAAGCAACGCCAGGCCAGCUGACGCCUGUCACUCAGACCCAUGAGCAACUCUUCUUCGGCUAAUAGACCUCCAUCAGUGUCAAACUUUCAAACUCUAGUACAAAGACCUACGGAUUUGAUCUUUUAAAGACAGAUGUGAAUGAGGGCAUGAAGCAGUAAGAGAUGCUCAACUACAGUGAUGGGAUUACAGUUUCCUUUCACUGGAAAUAAGAGGUCUAAACAUGUUCCAGCAUGACAAUACAUCUGUCCACAAAGCCAGCUCCAUGAAGACAUGGUUUCCAAGGUUGGAGUGGAAGAACUCGAGUGUCCUGCACAGAGCCCUUGACCUCAACCCCACUGAACACCUUUGGGAUGACCUGGAACACCGACUGCACCCCAGACCUCCUCACACAUCAUCAGUACACCUCACUAACCGAAUGAACACAAAUCCCCACAGCCAUGCUCCAAAGUCUAGUGGAAAGCCUUCCCAGAAGAGUGGAGGUUAUUAUAACAGGAAAGGGGGAAUAAAUCUGGAACGGGAUGUUCAUGGGAUGUUCAGCUUACAAUCACUGCAGCAUCCCUAAAUGCACAAAUAAUUCAAACAAAGAAAGGAUAUCUUGUUCUGCAAAAGGUCAAUAAAGACAAAAACAUUAGGUAAACACAUUGUAUUACCAAUAUAAAUUGUUUCUUUUUUUUUCUUUUUUUGAAGAUUAAAUUAAUAUAAAAUAUUGUUAGGAUUCCAAAACAAAGACAGAAAAGAAGUGAGUUUUGCUCUUCAACUUACAUUUGUAAAUAUAAAUUGUAUAGCUCAGAAUAACUAUUAAAUUCCUUAAAAACGAUUUGUUUAUCUUAUUGAAAACAUCAAUAAAUCUAAACAUAUCUUGAAAAAUCUUACCAGAAGCUCACUGUGUAAUAACAGUACCACAAGAAG
Molecule: long non-coding RNA, 1423 nt
Organism: Ictalurus punctatus (channel catfish)
Lineage: Eukaryota; Metazoa; Chordata; Actinopteri; Siluriformes; Ictaluridae
Exons: 3
Source: RefSeq, a predicted model, not a curated record